UGAUAAUAUUUGACCUCCGUGACUAUAUCAAUCCAUGUUUCUUUUUGCGAAUCCUUUAUUGUUCAGAAGAACGUGAGAAAGAAGCAGCUGAGAAAGAAAAAGAAUCUGCAGGCCAGCAAGGAGGUGCCGAUUCAUCAGGGGGUGCAGGAUCACAACCAGUGAAAAAAGUAUCUUCCAGAGAGAUGUCUAGUAGCAAAAGUGAAGACAGUCUGGAUGAAGAAUUUGUUGAUCCUCCCUUACCCCCCGAGGAGUCAGUCGAUGACUCUGAUGAGGAGCUGAUUGGCCCACCACUUCCUCCUGGCUACAACAACGAAGAGGAUGAUGAUGAUGAUGAUGACGAUGAUGAUGAAAGUGCCCAGGAAGAAGAUGAGACGUUGCUGCUGUGCUUGUGACGUGAGGAUGAGAGAAGAGAAAAGUCAUUAAAUACAUGGGGAC
This 435-nucleotide long non-coding RNA is filed under the name Laticauda laticaudata (blue-ringed sea krait). RNAcentral's name for it is "lncRNA (ENSLLTG00000013807.1)". Lineage: Eukaryota; Metazoa; Chordata; Lepidosauria; Squamata; Elapidae. The record is from RNAcentral.